This 1388-nucleotide ribosomal RNA is filed under the name metagenome. Its description in RNAcentral is "bacterial LSU rRNA". It matches the Rfam family "Bacterial large subunit ribosomal RNA", at positions 1106 to 2555 of the family's 2925-position model. The record is from RNAcentral.
UUUUGGGCAGCCAUCAUUUAAACAGUGCGUAAUAGCUGACUCAUCGAGCGAUGUCGCGCCGAAAAUGAUUGGCGAUUAAAUUGUAUACCGAAGCUAUGGAUUCAUGACCGGUUCGCCGGACAUGAGUGGUAGGAGAGCGUAAUCAAUGCAGCGAAGCCGAACUGAAAAGGAUGGUGGAGCGUUGAUUAGUGAGAAUGCAGACACGAGUAGCGAUAAACUAGGUAAGAAUCCUAGUCGCCGUAAACCCAAGGUUUCCUGGGCCAGGUUCGUCCUCCCAGGGUUAGCCGGGAGCUAAGAUGAGGCCGUAAGGCGUAAUCGAUGCACAUCAGGUUAAAUAUUCCUGAGCUAGCUCGGGUUAAGGCUGCGAAUGACGCAUGGGAAGACAUCAACUAGGCAAUUGAAUGCUGAGCUUAGCCUUCGGGCGAAGCGUAUUGGUGGGUUCCUGUGUCUAGAAAAGAUCGCAGCUGUUCCCCGGGUUGCCCGUACCGUAAACCGACACAGGUGGGUGAGUGUAAGUGCACUAAGGCGCGCGAGAGAAACCUCUCUAAGGAACUCGGCACAUUAGCCCCGUAACUUCGGGAUAAGGGGUGCCUUCUUCGGAAGGUCUCAGUAAAUGGCGUUUUUCGACUGUUUAACAAAAACACAGCUCUCUGCAAAGUCGUUAAGACGACGUAUAGGGAGUGACAAGUGACCAAUGCGGAAAGAUCAAGGCAACUUGUUAGCCGUAAGGCGAAGCUCGGAACCUAAGUCCCCGUGAAUGUCGGCCGUAACUAUAACGGUCCUAAGGUAGCGAAAUUCCUUGUCGGGUAAGUUCCGACCUGCACGAAUCUUGUAACGAAAGAACGACUGUCUCGGAGAGGAUCUCGGCGAAACUGUAACGGCGGUGAAGAUGCCGCCUGCCCGCAGUAGGACGGAAAGACCCUAUGCACCUUUACUGUAAGCUCGUAUUGGGUUCUGAUUCAUGAUGCUUAGCGUAGGUGGGAGACUUUGAAGUCAGGGCUUCGGUUCUGGCAGAGUCGAAAUGUGAAACACCACUCUUUGUGAAUUAGGAUUCUAACCUCAGUCUGUGAAGCCAGAUGAGGGACAGUGCGCGCGGAUCAGUUUGACUGGGGCGGUUUCCUCCCAAAUUGUAACGGAGGAGCGCGAUGCUUAGCUCAGCACGGUUGGCAACCGUGCGUCGAGUGUAUGGAUAGAUGCUAGGUUAACUGUGAGACCAACAAGUCGAGCAGGUGCGAAAGCAGGCCCAAAUGAUCCGAUGGUUUAAUGUGGAAUUGCCAUCGCUCAACGGACAAAAGGUACGCUAGGGAUAACAGGCUGAUCGGAGCCAAGAGUUCACAUCGACGCUCCGGUUUGGCACCUCGAUGUCGGCUCAUCGCAUCCUGGGGCUC